RNAcentral lists this transfer RNA (82 nucleotides) under Rhizobium sp. BK376. It matches the Rfam family "tRNA". From Rfam's summary of the family: Transfer RNA (tRNA) molecules are approximately 80 nucleotides in length. Their secondary structure includes four short double-helical elements and three loops (D, anti-codon, and T loops). Further hydrogen bonds mediate the characteristic L-shaped molecular structure. tRNAs have two regions of fundamental functional importance: the anti-codon, which is responsible for specific mRNA codon recognition, and the 3' end, to which the tRNAs corresponding amino acid is attached (by aminoacyl-tRNA synthetases). tRNAs cope with the degeneracy of the genetic code in two manners: having more than one tRNA (with a specific anti-codon) for a particular amino acid; and 'wobble' base-pairing, i.e. permitting non-standard base-pairing at the 3rd anti-codon position. Lineage: Bacteria; Pseudomonadati; Pseudomonadota; Alphaproteobacteria; Hyphomicrobiales; Rhizobiaceae. The record is from Rfam by way of RNAcentral.
GCGGACGUGGCGAAAUUGGUAGACGCAAGGGACUUAAAAUCCCUCGGCCUUGGCUGUACGGGUUCGACCCCCGUCGUCCGCA